RNAcentral lists this unclassified non-coding RNA (358 nucleotides) under soil metagenome. Its description in RNAcentral is "partial contains 5.8S ribosomal RNA, internal transcribed spacer 2, and large subunit ribosomal RNA". The stretch from base 1 to 120 matches the Rfam family "5.8S ribosomal RNA", at positions 35 to 154 of the family's 154-position model. The record is from RNAcentral.
GAUGAAGAACGUAGCGAAAUGCGAUAAGUAAUGUGAAUUGCAGAAUUCAGUGAAUCAUCGAAUCUUUGAACGCACAUUGCGCCCGCCAGUAUUCUGGCGGGCAUGCCUGUCCGAGCGUCAUUUCAACCCUCGAACCCCUCCGGGGGGUCGGCGUUGGGGACCUCGGGAGCCCCUAAGACGGGAUCCCGGCCCCGAAAUACAGUGGCGGUCUCGCCGCAGCCUCUCCUGCGCAGUAGUUUGCACAACUCGCACCGGGAGCGCGGCGCGUCCACGUCCGUAAAACACCCAACUCUUCUGAAGUUGACCUCGAAUCAGGUAGGAAUACCCGCUGAACUUAAGCAUAUCAAUAAGCGGAGGA